This is a long non-coding RNA of Papio anubis (olive baboon), 5050 nucleotides long. NCBI's taxonomy places the organism in Eukaryota, Metazoa, Chordata, Mammalia, Primates, Cercopithecidae. The record is from Ensembl.
AUGUGGGCACAUUUGGAUCCAUCGAGGGUUGGCUGGUGCCCUCUAGUGGUUGAAGCUGUUCAGCCGCUUCUAAGGAGAGGCUGGCUUGAGAGGAAGCUGGAUUUGGCCGCUGGAGACCGGGCUGUGCCUUGGCGGGACACCGCGCCUCUCUGGGUGCAGUGUUUUAAUGUAUGCUUCCUCUUCCAAAGGACGCAGCUCCGAUAUGCCUUCUGGGAGGCACCACAGAGAUGCUUGGCACGCGUCUCCCACUGCCCUUCCUUCUCGACUUCACUGCAGGAAUCGCCCUGCAGUGGCACCACUUCUUCUCAAGUCUGACAGUAAGCCCCUGCAGACCAGAUGCCACAUCUUCCUACAGGUACGUCCCAAGUUUCUAAAGCAGUGCCUAGGGCCUUGCUAAUGCCCAGUAGAUGUUCGCUGGGAUGAUCUUGAUGCCGCCCAAACUCCUUGUUAGUUGCUGCCUCUUUCUCUGUUGCAAACACAGCUUCCAUGUCGGGAUUGCUGAGGGGCUGCCCCACCUCACAGACGUGCUUUCUCUUCCUUCUCCUUUCUUCACCAUGGAGGUGUCCCUUCUCCAGUCUCUCUGUGGGGAGAAAAUGCUCUCUCGUGUCAUAUCUGAAAUUUUUCUUCCUUCUAUGUCCUCUUGACACCUGGCUUGUUCUGUGAAAAUGUCCUCUGAAGUCCCCAGCCCAGCCCAGCUCUGUGGUGGGGCAAAGGGGGAGCCUGGUACCAGGGUCGUGGGAGCUCUGUGCCCUGGUGUGCCCCCUUGCUGGGUUCAUCUCAACUAAUGAGCUUUUUGUAUCCCUGUGCCAACUCUUGGGCUAUUUCCUUUUCUAGUCUUGGUUUUGAGUUUCUUCUUCUGACAUUUAAUUACCAGGAAGAAAAGUGGGAGGGAUGUAUUUUCUCAGAGAACUCCAUGAUUGUAAAAUCAUGGUGCCUGGUGUCAGGGGUGUGGCACCCACAGGGACACGGCUGGGUGCUUCUGUAGUUCAUUCUUGCUUCCCCGUCACACUGGCCUUCUCUGCAGAGGUCAAUGCCCUCCUACAGACCCCCUGCCCAACUCUCCCAGCCUCUUGCUUUUUAUCUCAAUCAGGCUAGAGAAAAAUAUUCCAAUCUCCAAAUUGGGACCCUCAACAAAGGAGGUUUUAUUCUUUGUGAAAUUUGUUUGCAUAAUAAGCCUUAAUAAGCCUUACAAUUAUGUGGCAUUUAAGUGAGAUCUAUAAUAAUUUUAUAGAAAAAGCAUAAAUGAUACUAAAUUGGAACUGUUUGAGAGAAUAUGGACUGUAAGUGUGCUGAGGCAAGUAAAACCACUGCAGAAAAAGGAUUUAAAAGCAGGGAGAAAUAAAACACUCUAUUUUAGCCAUAUUUUCCAGUAAGAGACAUUCCAAAGCCUACUUCAAUCAAAACUGCUUUUGUAUUAGUCAAGAGUGUUGGCAUGUAAAAUCUAUCGUUUAAAAUAGUUUCCAAAUACACUAGAAAGUGAGAAAUGAUAAGGUCCAUGAGAGGAUUCCUGUGCUGUCACUAAGUAUGCGUGCCUGGGAAGUCCAGGCGAGGGCAUGUUAUAGGUGAAUUGUGUCCUUCGGAAGGAUACAUUGACGUCCUGUCCCCGAGAACUAACCUGGAAAGUACAGUCAUUGCAGAUGUGAUUUGUUAGGACAAGGUCAUGCUGGACAGGGUGGACCCCUCAUCCAAUAUGACCAGAGUCCUCACAAGAAGACGGUGUGAGGACACAGAGGACACCAUGUGACAGCAAAGGCAGAGGCUGAGUUUCGCCAUCGCCAGCCGAGAUCACCAAGGGCUGCAGCCACACAGAAGCUGAACGACGGGGACUGGUGAGAGCGUGGCCCUGCCGCACCUCAAUUUUGUACCUGCAGCAUCCAGCACUGUCAGUGAACACAUGUCUGUAGUCUGAGCCAGUUUGUGGCAAUAUGCUACAGCAGUCCUGAGAAACUAACAGGCAGGAGAUGAAUGUCCAAGGCUGUGCAUUUCUUCGAAGGGUGAAACCUGGCUGCUGUGUGGCCUCGUUCACCAUAUCAUCCGGGUUAACACUCCGGUAGUUCGGCUUGCCAUAUGAAGGAAGCAUUAGUAAAAACGAAUGCGGGAUGGCUCCGCGCUGAGAUGGGACAAAUUGUUUGUACAUUGUGGUGAAUUCAUACAUAAAAUUAUUGGCCUUUUGCCAGCAACACUACCCUGUAAUUAGGUGUCUUUCAUUUGUGAAAGGGUGUGGCGAAUGUUGGUUUAAUGUUGGUCAGUUUAAUAAAAACCGAUUUGCCAAGAUUUAAUUCUGCAGAAAUAAAAUUUGCCUGAUGAUAAAUUCAUCAAAUUUACCGCAUUUGUUGACUUACUAAAUUUAUCAUUCAUGUUGAGUCACUUUACCGGCAAACAGAGCUCUGGAAAGAGUUAAUUCAUUUCCAGUUUUGUCGGUGUUAUCUGGCAGUAUUUAAGUAAGGUUCAAUUUCUCGAAGGCUGGCACUUGAGGGUAAUAUAGUCCUCUAUGAAUGAAUAUAUGUAGAAUCCAAUAAUGCAUAUUUUACCGUCAGAAACCCCAGUUUCAGGAUUUUAUAUGAACAUUUUUUUCUGUUAGAAUAUUAAUUUUUGCUUGACAAGCUUUUCUGCAGAUAGUGGUUAUAAGAUUCUUUUUCCAACUUCUCAAAUACUCCAUCAACCUUCGCUGGUGAUUUCUGGCCAUUAGUAGCCCAAAUAUUAGCACAUGUUAGAGUCAUUCCUGUCACUUCCUAGUUUGUUUCUUACUCUAUCCAUAUUUUAACUUUUAAAGCACUAUUUUACUAUCUUUUAUUCUUCACAUUUUUGUUGUUAUGGUAUAGGCAUAUUACAUUACUACAGUCUUUUGUAGUAAUACCUUAGGUCAUCGCCACCUCGAAAGGUUUUAUCUCUUCACACUGAAUCUUUCUCCAAACUGCCACCAAGCCUGUGUAUCCUUAAUGCUUUCUGUUAGAGUUCACAAUGUGAGCACUUCUUUAAAUCUAGAUGUUUAUAAAAACGCUGAAUAGGCCCAGUGUGGUGGCUCACACCUGUAACCCCAGCACUUUGGGAGGGUGAGGCAGGAAAGAUUACUUGAGGUCAGGGGUUGGAUACCAGCCUGGCCAACAUGGGCAAACCUGACUCUACCGAAAAAUACAAAAAUUAGCCAGGUGUGGUGUGUGUGCCUGUGGUACCAGCUACUCAGGAGGCUCAGGUGGGAGAGUCACUUGAACCUGGGAGGCAGAAGUUGCUGUGAGCCAACAUCGGGCCAGAGUGAGACCCUGUCUCAAAAAGAAAAACAAAAUGCAAAACACUUAAUAAACAAAUAUAGCAGUUGAUAAAUUUAACAAUGCCUUGUGCUGCUUUCGAUGGUUUCAACAGCCUGAGUCUAUUUUAUCGUUUUAGUUAUAAUUUAGUAAUUUAGUUGUAAUUUAGAAGUGACGGUUUUGCAGCAGCCUCUGUGUAGCCUGCUCAUUGAAUGUCAGUUUCCUGUGUUUCACAUUUCAGAUUCUGUGAGUUCUCUUUUGCAUAAAACAUAAGGAAAAUAUUCAUCCAAUAGAAUAGCUUAACAAAUCUGUGGAUCGGGGGAAAUAAAAAGGCAAUUGACUAAGUUGCAAAUAUGUCAUUGGAAGAAAAAACUGCAACUUGUCAUUUAUGACGUCAUUGUCACUUCCGCAUAGCCUGCCCUGACACUUCGUAAUCUAACCCCUAAUACUUCACUGUCAAAUCUGAGGCGCAGAUAGUGAUUUCAUCUGAAAUGUUAAAGUACAUCUCAAGUCAGAAUGAAUUCCUUACAGGCCAAGGCAUCUGAAGAUGGUGUCUCUGGCUUAGUUGCUCUUUUGUUUGUUUAAGAUAGGAUAUUGGGUGACAUUUGAUUCAGAUAAUCGGGUCAGAACUCAGCUCUGUGAUGUCCUGUGCAGCUCCGGUCUCCUGUGACUUCCCAACGCAGGUGCUGGAGAGGAGGGCGUAGCCUCCAUGUAGCCCUCAGUGAACGACAGACCCGAGGCAUCCACCAAUGCUCAUUAAAGUGGUUUCCAAGCGUUCCAGAAUAUGUGGGAGAAAAUAUACCCUUGGAAAUGUUGAAAUGUUUUAUAAGCAAGCACAUCCAGUUCCUGGGCAGCUCCAACUUGCUUGGCUCUCAUUUGCCCGACGGCUCAGCUGCAAUGCUGCCAAGGAAAACAGUCAUUGAAAGUCACACAGGUAAGGUGUGGUGUCACAAAUCAGUCACCCCCUGCUUCUUGCCACAGGGACAAAUUGAUGACAUUGCAGGAGACACAGAUAAUCCUCAUCUCCGAGUGGAAGACUGAUGUGGCUCCACUCCCUCCAUAUGAAGCAGUAACCGAGGACAAUGCUCGGAGCCGACCUCUGGGUGGUUCCCAGAAUGUGGGGUGACCCAGCUGCAUACAUAAGCCUGUCACACCACCCCAGGCUCCCUGUCACCAGCACUCAUCCGGGCGGCACAACCUUCUCAGAGUGGACUGGGAUGUUCUCAUCAUACUGCAUGCAUUCAUUUUCUUUUGCUGCUGUAGCAAAUUACACAGACUUGGUGGCUUCAAAUGACACAAAUUUAUUCAGAAGUCCAAAAUCAGUUUCAUGAAGUGAAAGUAGAAGUGUUGGCAGGGCUGGCCUCCUCUGAAGGCCCCAGGGGAGAAUCGCUUUGCCCUUUCAGCUUCUAGCAGUCACCCGGAUUCCUGGACUUGUGACCCCUUCCUCUGCCUUCACACUGUCCCUCCAGUCUCUGUUACCAUCAUCACAGUCCCUACUCCUGUUCUGUGGUCAGAUCUCCCCCACCUCCUCACAAGGACACUUGUGAGGACACUGGGCCCAUCUGGGUAAUCAGGAGCAUCUCCGCCUCUCAAAGCCCUCAACUUCAUCACAUCUGCAAAGUCUCUUUGGCCAUAUAAGGUGACAUGUACAGAUUCUGGGGAUGAGGGCAUGGAUAUCUUUAGGGGCUGUACUCAGCCUUGCAUGCUGGGCCAGGGUGUGCACUCACCAUUGAUGAAAGCUCAGUUUAUCACUCGCCAUUCCGAAAACACGUAAAGCCAGGGGAGGGCUGGGGGAGAUCCUCCUU